This is a regulatory RNA element of 72 nucleotides. It matches the Rfam family "hya RNA". The record is from Rfam.
AGCGACGCGCAAGUGGGCCGAAGGGCGACUCCUGCGCCGCAGGGACCCCAGCCCGGUCCCGGAAAGCUGUGC